RNAcentral lists this long non-coding RNA (278 nucleotides) under Zostera marina. Its description in RNAcentral is "long non-coding RNA (ZMAR_LNC004233)". The record is from RNAcentral. Lineage: Eukaryota; Viridiplantae; Streptophyta; Magnoliopsida; Alismatales; Zosteraceae.
GAAAGUGAGCCUUCCAAGUGAAAUAGUUGACUCGGUCUAGCCGGAUCGCUCAGAUGCUUGAUCUUUAUUGCAGAUUCUUAGUAGUCCACAUCAAUACAUCAUACUAUCGUCGCAUGCAAGAACCAAGGAGAAAAAAAGCUUACUCAAUCUGUUUUAGGCUCUGAUACCAUAUUACAAAUUUACUCUUUUCUUUUAUUGUGUACUAUUUAGAUGGGUUCUGGAAAAACAUAUAUAAUAUGAUUAUGUGAACCGAUUGUACUGGACAAAAUGAUGGAUUC